RNAcentral lists this ribosomal RNA (513 nucleotides) under uncultured bacterium. RNAcentral describes it as "bacterial SSU rRNA". It matches the Rfam family "Bacterial small subunit ribosomal RNA", at positions 9 to 526 of the family's 1533-position model. The record is from RNAcentral.
GAGUUUGAUCCUGGCUCAGGAUGAACGCUAGCUACAGGCUUAACACAUGCAAGUCGAGGGGCAGCAUGGUCUUAGCUUGCUAAGGCUGAUGGCGACCGGCGCACGGGUGAGUAACACGUAUCCAACCUGCCGUCUACUCUUGGCCAGCCUUCUGAAAGGAAGAUUAAUCCAGGAUGGGAUCAUGAGUUCACAUGUCCGCAUGAUUAAAGGUAUUUUCCGGUAGACGAUGGGGAUGCGUUCCAUUAGAUAGUAGGCGGGGUAACGGCCCACCUAGUCAACGAUGGAUAGGGGUUCUGAGAGGAAGGUCCCCCACAUUGGAACUGAGACACGGUCCAAACUCCUACGGGAGGCAGCAGUGAGGAAUAUUGGUCAAUGGGCGAUGGCCUGAACCAGCCAAGUAGCGUGAAGGAUGACUGCCCUAUGGGUUGUAAACUUCUUUUGUCAGGGACGAGUAGAAGACGGUACCUGACGAAUAAGCCACGGCUAACUACGUGCCAGCAGCCGCGGUAAUUC